Molecule: long non-coding RNA, 2743 nt
Filed under: Homo sapiens (human)
Lineage: Eukaryota; Metazoa; Chordata; Mammalia; Primates; Hominidae
Description: HSALNT0333492
Rfam family: mir-1255 microRNA precursor family (bases 142-207)
Source: RNAcentral
UCACAGGUUCAAGACUUCAGUGGAGGAAAUAACUGUAGAUAUAGUGGAAAUAGCAAGAGAACUAGAAUUAGAAGUGUAGCCUGAAGAUGUGACAGAAUUGCUGCAUUCUUAUGAUAAAAUUUGAAUGGAUGAGAAGUUGCUUCUUAUGGAUGAGUAAAGAAAGUGGUUUCUUAGGAUGAAAUCUACUCCUGGGGAAGAUGCUGUGAAAUUGUUGAAAUAACAGCAAAGAAUUUAGAAUGUCACAUAAACUUGACUGAUAAAGCAGUGGCAGAGUUUGAGAGGAUUGACUCCAACUUUGAGAGUUCUGUGGGUAAAAUGCUAUUAAACAGCAUCACAUACCACAGAGAAAUAGUUCAUGAAAGGAAGAAUCAACUGAUGCAGCAAACUUCAGUGUUGUCAUGUUUUAAGAAAUUGCCACAGCCACCUGAGCCUUCAGCAGUUAUCACCCUAAUCAGCCAUGAGUCAGCAGACAUUAAGCCAUUCACUCAGUAAAUAUGUUCCAGUUUGGAGCUGAUCUCAACAAUGAUGUGUUAUGCCUUAGCAUCAGCCUGAAGCAUACGCACUGCUGCAGUGAGCCAGUCUUCUGAGCUGUUUCACCCAGGAAUGCAUUCAGACCAACUGCAGAAGAAUGAAAGAAGUGUCAAAUAGUUAAAGAAUCUAGCCCACACAGAAAGGGAGCUUCUGGUCAGGAGUUCUUCAGAGAGGAUAUGGUGGGUAUUUACUUGGGCCUCAAGGGUCCAGCUUCAGGUUCUUUGCCAUCAGUGGUGGAGACCAGUGAUACACAGCAAGGAACACGUCUUGGAACUACUGAUCCUGACCAUCCUGCCCAAGAACUCCAGGCCUGGGUAUAGGAGCAUCCCAGAGUAUAGGAAAGAGGCUGUCUGUACUGAAGAACUUGGAGAGGAAGCUGAAUGAUCUGAGAGGAAAGGUAAAAUGAAGAAAUGUCUUAUCAGAUAGCAGAUAUUAUCUCCAGAGAGAGAUAAGAGAGUUGAGAUAACUUCUCUAGCGUAGUUAGAGAAAAUGGCUAACAUGUUAUUGGCCAGAGUUAUUUAUUUUUGUUCUAGUUUGGUGAGUUUUUUUUAACUUGUAGGCCCUGUGUAUUUUCCCCUCUUUGUCUGUGUAUCCCUGCCCUUGCAGAUGACAGAAAACUGCUUUCUGCCCUCCCAUCGUGUGUUCCACAGUAAUAAUGGGAUUUUAAGCUCUAACUUUCAGCAAAUGUCACCCUCAUUAAACUCCAUCUAAUUGUGCCCAGUUCCCCACCCUCCUACAGGGGACAAGAAGUGUCCCAACGCAAAUAGUGUAUCUGGCAGCCUCAUAGGACUCAACUGGAGUCCGGCUCCAGCCAGUAAAGGGUCAACUCAGCUCUGAAUGUUGGGAGUUUCACACUGUUAAGGAGAACGCUGAGGAGGAGAUAGCAAAGAAGAAGUUAGGAAAUGUUGGUGUCUUUUUGCAUUUUUCCAAAUGAACCUUGUCACUAAAAUCUCUGCAUACCUUUCAUUUAAUCUCUAUUGCCUAUUCCACUUUUAACCUGUUCCUCUAAGCAUACCACUUUAGCCUGGAUUAUGAUUCUUUUCUUUCUUCACUUCUUUGCCUUAAAAUUGUUUUUUUUAAAAAAUCCUGCUACUCAUGUUACCUUGCAUGGUUCAGUUUCUCCCUUCUAAUACUGCCAACUUCCUUAACCCAGACCUCUUAUCGCAAAGACAGGAGAAUGUUUUUCUAUAUUGAAGCCAAUAGAAAACUACUAAAAGGCUACAUGCAAUUAGUAAAUUUUUAAAUGUACAUUUUUUAAAUGAGUGUAGGAAACAUAAAACUUUAGUAGGUGCAUGCUUACUGGGAAAGCACGCAUGCAUGCUAAAAUGUCAUUGUACAGUACAUAUUGUUUACCACUUGUUUUUUAGUUUAAUAUUACAUUAUGGAUAUCUUUUCAAGUUACAUAUAAUACCUAUAUGUAGCUGACAUACAUUUCACUGCAAGGGUAUUGAAUUAUUUUGUAACUGGCCUUAGAGGGUUUUUACAUUGCUGCUUUUUUCUUUUUUUAAAUACUACCAACUAAAAGCCAUAAACUCUUUUCUUUUUCUUUUUUUCUUCACUCUGUACUAUGAAAAAAGUUUAAGCAUAUAUAAAAGUACAAUUGUACUACUUCUAAUAAAUCCCCACAAACCUGUCACCCAGCUUCAACAUUAUCAGAUUAUGGCCAAACUUGUUUCACUUACAACUCUACUCAUAUCCCAUGCUUUUAUAUAUAUAUAAUUUUAAAGCAUAUCUGAGCUAGCAUAGUCUUUCAAAUGUAAAUAUUUCAAUAUUUGCUGUAAAAGAUAUGAAUUUUAAAAAUGUAAACAUAAUACUAUUUUCAUACCUAAACAAUUAACAGUAAUUCCUUAAUAUCAAUUUUCCAGUUUUCUCAAAGAUGUCAUAAACUUUUUUUUGUUCAUUUUGUUUUUUAACUUAUUUGAAUCAAGAUCCAAGGAAGAAAACACAUUGUGAUGGGUUGAUAUGUCUCCUAAGUUUCUUUUAAUAUAUGGGUACCCUCUCCUGUUUUCUCUUCCAACUCACUUGUUAAAGAAAAUGAAGUUGUUUGUCCUGUAGAGUUGCACACAGCAUGGGUUUUGCUGUCUGCAUCAUGUGCUAUAGUCUAAGAUGUUCUGUUGUCCUCUGUAUUUUCUGUAAAUUGUAGUAAUGUACAGGCUUGAUCAAAAUCAAGUUUUAAGUUUUUUUGACCAGAUAAAUUUAAUGAUUUUGGCAA